Molecule: ribosomal RNA, 251 nt
Filed under: uncultured bacterium
Lineage: Bacteria
Description: partial 16S ribosomal RNA
Rfam family: Bacterial small subunit ribosomal RNA
Source: RNAcentral
UACGUAGGUGGCAAGCGUUGUCCGGAAUUAUUGGGCGUAAAGCGCGCGCAGGCGGCCUCUUAAGUCUGAUGUGAAAGCCCCCGGCUCAACCGGGAGGGCCAUUGGAACUGGGAGGCUUGAGUAUAGGAGAGAAGAGUGGAAUUCCACGUGUAGCGGUGAAAUGCGUAGAGAUGUGGAGGAACACCAGUGGCGAAGGCGACUCUUUGGCCUAUAACUGACGCUGAGGCGCGAAAGCGUGGGAGCAAACAGGA